AGUCAUAUGCUUGUCUCAAAGACUAAGCCAUGCAUGUCUAAGUUUAAGCGAUUUAAACGGUGAGACUGCGGACGGCUCAUUAUAUCAGUUAUAGUUUAUUUGAUGGUCGAUUACUACAAGGAUAACCGUAGGAAUUCUAGAGCUAAUACUUGCACUUCAAACUGAUUUUUCAGUUGCACUUAUUAGAUUUACCACCAAUGCUCUUCGGAGCUUCGGUGAUUCAUAGUAAUUUAGCGGAUCGCUACGGCUUCGGCCGCGACGCUUCAUUCAAAUUUCUGCCCUAUCAGCUUUCGAUGGUAGUGUAUUGGACUACCAUGGCUUUGACGGGUAACGGAGAAUUAGGGUUCGAUUCCGGAGAGGGAGCCUGAGAAACGGCUACCACAUCUAAGGAAGGCAGCAGGCGCGCAAAUUACCCAGUCCCAACGCGGGGAGGUAGUGACAAGAAAUAACAACAACUAACCUAUUUCAGGUGAGUUGAUUGGAAUGAGUACAAUCUAAACACCUUAACGACUAUCCAU
RNAcentral lists this ribosomal RNA (518 nucleotides) under uncultured eukaryote. RNAcentral's name for it is "SSU rRNA". It matches the Rfam family "Eukaryotic small subunit ribosomal RNA", at positions 22 to 548 of the family's 1831-position model. The record is from RNAcentral.